RNAcentral lists this ribosomal RNA (1006 nucleotides) under Enterovibrio sp. RNAcentral's name for it is "bacterial SSU rRNA". It matches the Rfam family "Bacterial small subunit ribosomal RNA", at positions 86 to 1088 of the family's 1533-position model. Lineage: Bacteria; Pseudomonadati; Pseudomonadota; Gammaproteobacteria; Vibrionales; Vibrionaceae. The record is from RNAcentral.
GGGCGGCGAGCGGCGGACGGGUGAGUAAUGGCUGGGAACCUGCCCGAUAGAGGGGGAUAACAGUUGGAAACGACUGCUAAUACCGCAUGAUGUCUACGGACCAAAGGAGGGGAUCUUCGGACCUUUCGCUAUCGGAUGGGCCCAGUUGGGAUUAGCUAGUUGGUGAGGUAAUGGCUCACCAAGGCGACGAUCCCUAGCUGGUUUGAGAGGAUGAUCAGCCACACUGGAACUGAGACACGGUCCAGACUCCUACGGGAGGCAGCAGUGGGGAAUAUUGCACAAUGGGCGCAAGCCUGAUGCAGCCAUGCCGCGUGUGUGAAGAAGGCCUUCGGGUUGUAAAGCACUUUCAGCAGUGAGGAAGGUUACGUAGUUAAUACCUGCGUGAUUUGACGUUAGCUGCAGAAGAAGCACCGGCUAACUCCGUGCCAGCAGCCGCGGUAAUACGGAGGGUGCGAGCGUUAAUCGGAAUUACUGGGCGUAAAGCGCAUGCAGGCGGUUUGUUAAGCAAGAUGUGAAAGCCCCGGGCUUAACCUGGGAACAGCAUUUUGAACUGGCAGGCUAGAGUCUUGUAGAGGGGGGUAGAAUUUCAGGUGUAGCGGUGAAAUGCGUAGAGAUCUGAAGGAAUACCGGUGGCGAAGGCGGCCCCCUGGACAAAGACUGACGCUCAGAUGCGAAAGCGUGGGGAGCAAACAGGAUUAGAUACCCUGGUAGUCCACGCUGUAAACGAUGUCUACUUGGAGGUUGUGACCUAGAGUCGUGGCUUUCGGAGCUAACGCGUUAAGUAGACCGCCUGGGGAGUACGGUCGCAAGAUUAAAACUCAAAUGAAUUGACGGGGGCCCGCACAAGCGGUGGAGCAUGUGGUUUAAUUCGAUGCAACGCGAAGAACCUUACCUACUCUUGACAUCCAGAGAAGCCUGAAGAGAUUUUGGUGUGCCUUCGGGAACUCUGAGACAGGUGCUGCAUGGCUGUCGUCACCUCGUGUUGUGAAAUGUUGGGUUAAGUCCC